This 408-nucleotide ribosomal RNA is filed under the name uncultured bacterium. Its description in RNAcentral is "partial 16S ribosomal RNA". It matches the Rfam family "Bacterial small subunit ribosomal RNA", at positions 28 to 526 of the family's 1533-position model. The record is from RNAcentral.
GACGAACGCUGGCGGCGUGCCUAAUACAUGCAAGUCGACCUUAGUGGCGAACGGGUGAGUAACACGUGGGUAACCUGCCCAUCAGAAGGGGAUCACAAUUGGAAACAGGUGCUAAUACCGUAUACUGAUGGAUUGACCCGCGGUGCAUGAGCUAGUUGGUGAGGUACCGGCUCACCAAGGCCACGAUCCAUAGCCGACCUGAUAGUGUGAUCGGCCACAUUGGGCCUGCGACACGGCCUGAACUCCUACGGGAGUAAGCAGUAGGGAAUCUUCGGCAAUGGACGAAAGUCUGACCGAGCAACGCCGCGUGAGUGAAGAAGGUUUUCGGAUCGUAAAACUCUGGUGUUAGAGAAGCGGUAUCUAACCAGAAAGCCACGGCUAACUACGUGCCAGCAGCCGCGGUAAUUC